Molecule: long non-coding RNA, 1060 nt
Filed under: Homo sapiens (human)
Lineage: Eukaryota; Metazoa; Chordata; Mammalia; Primates; Hominidae
Description: HSALNT0354145
Source: RNAcentral
GAAGCCGUUAGGGCGUGGCGGAACCGGAAGGCGGCCUAGGGACGCACGCAGGCUCGGCUGUCUCUUUAGGCCACGGAGCUGCGUAGAUCCGGAACCCUGGGCGACUGAUCUGUCCCCAUUGGGCGAGACCUACCUAGACAAAGGCCUUAACAUACCGACAAAGGCCUUAAGGGGCCUGGGAGGUGAGCGAAGUCCCGAAAAACGGGUGGAAGGUUAGGGGCCAUGGGGCGGCUGGUCUUCCUUCUACCAGAUCUUGCUGUUGGGAGAAAUGGUAGAAUGACAGGCCACUUUUGGCCCGUUGGAAAUGCCCACCACCCUUUGGGAAGAUUUACUGGCCAUUUAUGGAAGGCCUGUGUAUACAAUAUGAAAAACCUGCCCUCAACUCCACCCUAGCCUGUUGAUAGAAAACAUUUGUCACAUCUAGCCCUUCUAGAUGGAAAGAGGUUCCUGACGUAUGAUAAAGUAGAGUUAGAAAGUCACAUCUUGUAAAUUCUCAUUUGUUUAAAGGAAGUCGUACAAAAUAAAUGUCUUCUGGAGAUGAUUUUUGGAAAUGGAGUUAUUAGACAGCCCCUGGAAGCGAUACAUCCACGUUUGUUCAGUGGGUUAGAUGACAUGGAGCUGGAAGACCUGAGAAGGAAGAGAAGAAGGUUCUAUGACAGACUGGUCAUAUUUAGAAGACACUUUCAUAUUCUAUCCAUAGUUUUGUAUGCAUUUUAUUCCUCACUACCUUAUAUAUAGUUGACAAUGCUAAGCUUUUUUGAAAUGUCUGUUUUUUUAGAUGUUCUGAAGUGCCUGAUAUAUGUUAAAAUUAAAGGCAUGAACCUUCAGAGCCCUGAGCUGCCUUGUAAGAAGUCUAGCUAGCAAUGCCACCAUGCUGGAGAGAUGAUGAGGGAAAACUACAUACAGACACAAACAGAGUGAGACACUCAAGAAGCCCUAGUUGUGGAAUACAGCAGUGCUAUGGAGGCUUGACAUAACCAUCUACUUUUCCAGAAACCCACAUUGUCUAAGGUAAAAUAACUGCUCUGGAAAAGAAGGCAAGAAAGUAAAACAAGGCAAU